UGGGGAAUUUUGGACAAUGGGCGCAAGCCUGAUCCAGCCAUGCCGCGUGCGGGAAGAAGGCCUUCGGGUUGUAAACCGCUUUUGUCAGGGAAGAAAUCUUCUGAGUUAAUACCUCGGGAGGAUGACGGUACCUGAAGAAUAAGCACCGGCUAACUACGUGCCAGCAGCCGCGGUAAAUACGUAGGGUGCAAGCGUUAAUCGGAAUUACUGGGCGUAAAGCGUGCGCAGGCGGUUUUGUAAGACAGAGGUGAAAUCCCCGGGCUCAACCUGGGAACUGCCUUUGUGACUGCAAGGCUUGAGUGCGGCAGAGGGGGAUGGAAUUCCGCGUGUAGCAGUGAAAUGCGUAGAUAUGCGGAGGAACACCGAUGGCGAAGGAAUCCCCUGGGCCUGNACUGACGCUCAUGCACGAAAGCGUGGGGAGCAAACAGGAUUAGAUA
This 437-nucleotide ribosomal RNA is filed under the name uncultured bacterium. Its description in RNAcentral is "partial 16S ribosomal RNA". It matches the Rfam family "Bacterial small subunit ribosomal RNA", at positions 355 to 784 of the family's 1533-position model. The record is from RNAcentral.